Molecule: ribosomal RNA, 462 nt
Filed under: uncultured bacterium
Lineage: Bacteria
Description: partial 16S ribosomal RNA
Rfam family: Bacterial small subunit ribosomal RNA
Source: RNAcentral
AGUGAACGCUGGCGGCGUGCCUAAUACAUGCAAGUCGAACGGAGAUUAAGUAGCUUGCUAUUUAAUCUUAGUGGCGCACGGGUGAGUAAUAUAUAGCUAACUUGCCCAUUACUAAGGGACAACAGUUGGAAACGACUGCUAAUACCUUAUACUCCGUAUCUAUAUAAGUAGAUACGGGAAAGUUUUUCGGUAAUGGAUAGGGCUAUAUCGUAUCAGCUAGUUGGUAAGGUAAUGGCUUACCAAGGCUAUGACGCGUAACUGGUCUGAGAGGAUGAUCAGUCACACUGGAACUGAGACACGGUCCAGACUCCUACGGGAGGCAGCAGUAGGGAAUAUUGCUCAAUGGGGGAAACCCUGAAGCAGCAACGCCGCGUGAAGGAUGACACUUUGCGGAGCGUAAACUCCUUUUCUUGGGAAAGAAUUAUGACGGUACCCAAGGAAUAAGCACCGGCUAACUCCGUG